GUGCCAGCAGCCGCGGUAAUACGUAGGUGGCAAGCGUUAUCCGGAAUUAUUGGGCGUAAAGCGCGCGUAGGCGGUUUUUUAAGUCUGAUGUGAAAGCCCACGGCUCAACCGUGGAGGGUCAUUGGAAACUGGAAAACUUGAGUGCAGAAGAGGAAAGUGGAAUUCCAUGUGUAGCGGUGAAAUGCGCAGAGAUAUGGAGGAACACCAGUGGCGAAGGCGACUUUCUGGUCUGUAACUGGCGCUGAUGUGCGAAAGCGUGGGGAUCAAACAGGAUUAGA
RNAcentral lists this ribosomal RNA (278 nucleotides) under uncultured Staphylococcus sp. RNAcentral's name for it is "partial 16S ribosomal RNA". It matches the Rfam family "Bacterial small subunit ribosomal RNA", at positions 505 to 782 of the family's 1533-position model. The record is from RNAcentral. Lineage: Bacteria; Bacillati; Bacillota; Bacilli; Caryophanales; Staphylococcaceae.